UAGGGAAUCUUCCGCAAUGGGCGAAAGCCUGACGGAGCAACGCCGCGUGAGUGAUGAAGGUCUUCGGAUCGUAAAACUCUGUUUUUAGGGAAGAACAAAUUUGUAAGUAACUAUGCACGUCUUGCCGGUACCUAAUCAGAAAGCCCCGGCUAACUACGUGCCAGCAGCCGCGGUAAUACGUAGGUGGCAAGCGUUAUCCGGAAUUAUUGGGCGUAAAGCGCGCGUAGGCGGUUUUUUAAGUCUGAUGUGAAAGCCCACGGCUCAACCGGGGAGGGUCAUUGGAAACUGGAAAACUUGAGUGCAGAAGAGGAAAGUGGAAUUCCAUGUGUAGCGGUGAAAUGCGCAGAGAUAUGGAGGAACACCAGUGGCGAAGGCGACUUUCUGGUCUGUAACUGACGCUGAUGUGCGAAAGCGUGGGGAUGAAACAGG
This 429-nucleotide ribosomal RNA is filed under the name Actinomycetes bacterium. RNAcentral describes it as "Actinobacteria bacterium partial 16S ribosomal RNA". It matches the Rfam family "Bacterial small subunit ribosomal RNA", at positions 355 to 776 of the family's 1533-position model. The record is from RNAcentral. Lineage: Bacteria; Bacillati; Actinomycetota; Actinomycetes.